This 686-nucleotide ribosomal RNA is filed under the name Clostridioides difficile. RNAcentral's name for it is "bacterial LSU rRNA". It matches the Rfam family "Bacterial large subunit ribosomal RNA", at positions 771 to 1465 of the family's 2925-position model. Lineage: Bacteria; Bacillati; Bacillota; Clostridia; Peptostreptococcales; Peptostreptococcaceae. The record is from RNAcentral.
GGUCCGAACCCACGAGCGUUGAAAAGCUCGGGGAUGACUUGUGGGUAGCGGUGAAAUUCCAAUCGAGCCCGGAGAUAGCUGGUUCUCCCCGAAAUAGCUUUAGGGCUAGCCUCAAGGUGAGAGAUACGGAGGUAGAGCACUGAAUGUCCUAGGGGGUAUUGCACCUACCGAAGACUAUCAAACUCCGAAUGCCGUCAUCUUAUACUUGGGAGUCAGACUGUGGGUGAUAAGAUUCAUAGUCGAAAGGGCAACAGCCCAGAUCGUCAGCUAAGGUCCCUAAAUGUAAGUUAAGUGGUAAAGGAUGUGGGAUUGCACAGACAACCAGGAUGUUGGCUUAGAAGCAGCCACUCAUUCAAAGAGUGCGUAAUAGCUCACUGGUCGAGUGAUCCUGCGCCGAAGAUUUCCGGGGCUAAAACUUACUACCGAAGCUACGGCAUCAGUAAUGAUGGGUAGGGGAGCUUCCCAUACGGGUUGAAGCAUGACCGUAAGGACAUGUGGACAGUAUGGGAGUGAGAAUGUUGGCAUGAGUAGCGAGAUGUGGGUGAGAAUCCCACAGGCCGUAAACCCAAGGUUUCCAGGGGAAGGUUCGUCCGCCCGGGGUUAGUCGGGACCUAAGCUGAGGCCGAAAGGCGUAGGUGAUGGACAACAGGUUGAUAUUCCUGUACUACCGAUAACCGUUUGAGAGA